RNAcentral lists this ribosomal RNA (700 nucleotides) under uncultured bacterium. Its description in RNAcentral is "bacterial SSU rRNA". It matches the Rfam family "Bacterial small subunit ribosomal RNA", at positions 77 to 777 of the family's 1533-position model. The record is from RNAcentral.
CCUUCGGGAAGAAGCGACCGGCGAACGGGUGCGUAACACGUAUGCAACCUACCCUAUACAGGGGGAUAGCCCGGAGAAAUCCGGAUUAAUACCCCAUACUACAUUUUACUGCAUGGUAGAAUGUUGAAAGCUGCGGCGGUAUAGGAUGGGCAUGCGUCCCAUUAGCUAGUUGGUGAGGUAAAGGCUCACCAAGGCGACGAUGGGUAGGGGGCCUGAGAGGGUGAUCCCCCACACUGGUACUGAGACACGGACCAGACUCCUACGGGAGGCAGCAGUAAGGAAUAUUGGUCAAUGGGCGCAAGCCUGAACCAGCCAUGCCGCGUGCAGGAAGACGGCCCUACGGGUUGUAAACUGCUUUUAUACGGGAAGAACUCCCCUUACGUGUAGGGGGCUGACGGUACCGUAAGAAUAAGGAUCGGCUAACUCCGUGCCAGCAGCCGCGGUAAUACGGAGGAUCCAAGCGUUAUCCGGAUUCAUUGGGUUUAAAGGGUGCGUAGGCGGUGCGUUAAGUCAGGGGUGAAAUUUGGCAGCUCAACUGUCAAACUGCCUUUGAUACUGGCGCGCUUGAAUGUGAUUGAGGUAGGCGGAAUGCGGCAUGUAGCGGUGAAAUGCGUAGAUAUGCCGCAGAACACCAAUAGCGAAGGCAGCUUACCAAGUCAUAAUUGACGCUGAUGCACGAAAGCGUGGGGAGCGAACAGGA